This 406-nucleotide ribosomal RNA is filed under the name uncultured bacterium. RNAcentral's name for it is "partial 16S ribosomal RNA". It matches the Rfam family "Bacterial small subunit ribosomal RNA", at positions 29 to 526 of the family's 1533-position model. The record is from RNAcentral.
AUUGAACGCUGGCGGCAGGCCUAACACAUGCAAGUCGAACGAGUGGCGGACGGGCGAGUAAUGUCUGGGAAACUGCCUGAUGGAGGGGGAUAACUACUGGAAACGGUAGCUAAUACCGCAUACCAUCGGAUGUGCCCAGAUGGGAUGAGCUAGUAGGUGGGGUAACGGCUCACCUAGGCGACGAGCCCUAGCUGGUCUGAGAGGAUGACCAGCCACACUGGAACUGAGACACGGUCCAGACUCCUACGGGAGGCAGCAGUGGGGAAAAUUGCACAAAGGGCGCAAGCCUGAUGCAGCCAUGCCGCGUGUAUGAAGAAGGCCUUCGGGUUGUAAAGUCCUUUCAGCGGGGAGGCGUUACCCGAAGAAGAAGCACCGGCUAACUCCGUGCCAGCAGCCGCGGUAAUAC